CCUACGGGAGGCAGCAGUGAGGAAUAUUGGUCAAUGGGCGUAAGCCUGAACCAGCCAAGUCGCGUGAGGGAUGAAGGUUCUAUGGAUCGUAAACCUCUUUUAUAAGGGAAUAAAGUGCGGGACGUGUCCCGUUUUGUAUGUACCUUAUGAAUAAGGAUCGGCUAACUCCGUGCCAGCAGCCGCGGUAAUACGGAGGAUCCGAGCGUUAUCCGGAUUGAUUGGGUUUAAAGGGGGCGUAGGCGGCCUUUUAAGUCAGCGGUGAAAGUCUGUGGCUCAACCAUAGAAGUGCCGUUGAAACUGGGAGGAUUGAGUAUGUUUGAGGCAGGCGGAAUGCGUGGUGGAGCGGUGAAAUGCUUAGAUAUCACGCAGAACCCCGAUUGCGAAGGCAGCCUGCCAAGCCAUGACUGACGCUGAUGCACGAAAGCGUGGGGAUCAAACAGGAUUAGAUACCCUUGUAGUC
RNAcentral lists this ribosomal RNA (460 nucleotides) under uncultured bacterium. RNAcentral's name for it is "partial 16S ribosomal RNA". It matches the Rfam family "Bacterial small subunit ribosomal RNA", at positions 338 to 795 of the family's 1533-position model. The record is from RNAcentral.